CCAGCUGCAGCCACUUAAAUAAUUCUUGGAGGACCCAAUGUUUAUCCCUUAGCCUCCUUCCUCUAACCCAUCUUCAAUGUCCUUCGAAGCAUUGGUUUGGCACUUGACUUCGUAGCCCCUUUUUUCUGACCCAGUUUUAUUGACUCUGGAAUUUGGAGGAUUGUUGUUUUGUUGUAUAUUGAGGGUUAGGGUUUUAGAGCCAUUGAAGAUUCCCCCUUGAUUUAACCAAGGUGGUGAUCAACUGAUCAAUUGCAACUACAAUCCGAACCACCCCAUUUAUCCAUUUUUUGUUUAUUGGGUGAAGGGUUCAAUGGCUUCCAUUAAAGACAAUGACUAUGCUUCCAAUGCUCUUUCCUAGACAAAAAACGAGUACAAGGAUCCGGAUUGGAAGUUGUGCAAUGCUUCGCCAACACUACUUACUGCCACUAUUUCGCACAAAAUCGCUAUUUCAAAGAUGAUGCAUUUAUUGGAUACUUGAAAUGCAUCUUCAAUCCUGGCAAUGGCCAGAGUACGUAAAAUUUAUCAUGUCAGGCUCAUUGCCUGAGGGCCAUUAGCAGCCGGACAAUUUCACAUGGGGAAGGGUUGAAUCAUCUUAUUGUUGGAGAAAACUAAACCAUGAAGACGGAUUUGUAAUGGGGGGCACUAGACUGAAAUUUUUAGUGUCGUUUGGUACUCUUAAAACACUACUACUUUCUUAUUUUCUUCUCGUUUUGAAGUAAUUUUCUACCUUUUCGGGAAAGGAAAAAUCCAAGUCCACGCUGAAGAUGAUCUGGUAUUGGCGUAUCGUAAUUGCAACCGUGCAUAAUCACCGCUGACAACGUGAAUGUUUCUAAAAGUCUCUCAAUAUUAUUGUCAUAA
This is a long non-coding RNA of Durio zibethinus, 858 nucleotides long. RefSeq lists it as uncharacterized. The record is from RefSeq and is a predicted model, not a curated record. NCBI's taxonomy places the organism in Eukaryota, Viridiplantae, Streptophyta, Magnoliopsida, Malvales, Malvaceae.